CCUGCUCAACAUCCAUCGUCCGGUGAGUGUGGAGCAGGAGCGCUGCCAUCAGCUCAGGGGGGCUCCCACAUUUCUGCUGCCCGAGUGGUCCUUUCUGCCACCAGCAUGCCUGUUCUUGAUCGAGAGCAGCCCAAAGGCCCCAGUGACAGCCAUGGUCUUCCAUUGCCGCACUCGAAAGAUCACAACAUCUAACCAGAAUUUUAAUGCUUAGAGCAAACUUUUCCAC
RNAcentral lists this long non-coding RNA (226 nucleotides) under Scleropages formosus (Asian bonytongue). Its description in RNAcentral is "lncRNA (ENSSFOG00015026271.1)". Lineage: Eukaryota; Metazoa; Chordata; Actinopteri; Osteoglossiformes; Osteoglossidae. The record is from RNAcentral.